GGGGCAACCCCGGCGGCGCGUCCCCGCAGCGGGUCCGCUGCCCGCCACACGUUCCCAGGCUGGAUGCGACACGGGGCGGGGAGGAGCCGCCCGGGCGCUGCGUGCGGGGGCUCCUCACGCUCUUAAGGUGGCCCGGCACCCCGCCGCCCUGCCCGCGCUGCCUGUCUGGCCGCGGCAGGAGGGGGGAGCCGCCUGUGCCGCGCCCCGUACCGCCGGCGGGAGCGGGGCGUGCGGCCUUUGCCCGGGGUGACGGGGCUGUCUCCGGCGGGGGAAACCUCGCCGCGGGGAGACGCGCGAUAUAGAAAAGAAAGAUUUUCCGGGGUGAGAAGAGGUUUUGAAAAAACCCUAAACAAACCAACUAAAAACCAACCACCAAAUCCUACCCAGGAAGAAAACCAUGAUAGGAUACCUGUAUGUUACACUGGAUCACUGAGGUGCAUGUUUACUACUAGCUGCAAAUGAACGGUCCUUCAGCCAGGAUGUGGAAGAGAAUUCCUUCCUGAACACUGUAAGUUUCAGUGUCCUAACUGCCAAAAAACAAAGCCACUUCCUACACUUCCCUGGAUACCAGAAUCCCCAACUGCCCGCUACCCAUCUGUCAAAAUUUAUAGCUUUCCCUAGACAAAUACUAACAGUUCAGUCAUGCACAAAGCCAUUGGCAUCUUGAAAAAAUCAGAGAAAGAUAAAAUACAUUGAAUGUAAUGUAAAA
Long non-coding RNA from Grus americana (Whooping crane), 709 nucleotides. RefSeq lists it as uncharacterized. The record is from RefSeq and is a predicted model, not a curated record. The transcript has 2 exons. NCBI's taxonomy places the organism in Eukaryota, Metazoa, Chordata, Aves, Gruiformes, Gruidae.